This 76-nucleotide transfer RNA is filed under the name Candidatus Uhrbacteria bacterium. RNAcentral describes it as "tRNA-Ile". It matches the Rfam family "tRNA". From Rfam's summary of the family: Transfer RNA (tRNA) molecules are approximately 80 nucleotides in length. Their secondary structure includes four short double-helical elements and three loops (D, anti-codon, and T loops). Lineage: Bacteria; Candidatus Uhriibacteriota. The record is from RNAcentral.
GGGCGCGUAGCUCAACGGUUAGAGCUCCAAGCUUAUACCUUGGUGGUUCUUGGUUCGAAUCCAAGCGCGCCCACCA